Molecule: ribosomal RNA, 505 nt
Filed under: uncultured bacterium
Lineage: Bacteria
Description: partial 16S ribosomal RNA
Rfam family: Bacterial small subunit ribosomal RNA
Source: RNAcentral
GACGAACGCUGGCGGCGUGCCUAAUACAUGCAAGUAGAACGCACAGUUUAUACCGUAGCUUGCUACACCAUAGACUGUGAGUUGCGAACGGGUGAGUAACGCGUAGGUAACCUACCUGGUAGCGGGGGAUAACUAUUGGAAACGAUAGCUAAUACCGCAUAAUAUUAAUUAUUGCAUGAUAAUUAAUUGAAAGGUGCAAUUGCACCACUACCAGAUGGACCUGCGUUGUAUUAGCUAGUAGGUGAGGUAACGGCUCACCUAGGCGACGAUACAUAGCCGACCUGAGAGGGUGAUCGGCCACACUGGGACUGAGACACGGCCCAGACUCCUACGGGAGGCAGCAGUAGGGAAUCUUCGGCAAUGGACGAAAGUCUGACCGAGCAACGCCGCGUGAGUGAAGAAGGGUUUCGGAUCGUAAAGCUCUGUUGUAAGAGAAGAACGGGUGUGAGAGUGGAAAGUUCACACUGUGACGGUAUCUUACCAGAAAGGGACGGCUAACUACGUG